CCUACGGGCGGCAGCAGUGAGGAAUCUUGGUCAAUGGACGAGAGUCUGAACCAGCCAAGUAGCGUGAAGGAUGACUGCCCUAUGGGUUGUAAACUUCUUUUAUAUGGGAAUAAAAUGUUCCACGUUUGGGAUUUUGUAUGUACCAUAUGAAUAAGGAUCGGCUAACUCCGUGCCAGCAGCCGCGGUAAUACGGAGGAUCCGAGCGUUAUCCGGAUUUAUUGGGUUUAAAGGGAGCGUAGGUGGAUUGUUAAGUCAGUUGUGAAAGUUUGCGGCUCAACCGUAAAAUUGCAGUUGAAACUGGCAGUCUUGAGUACAGUAGAGGUGGGCGGAAUUCGUGGUGUAGCGGUGAAAUGCUUAGAUAGCACGAAGAACUCCGAUUGCGAAGGCAGUUCACUGGACUGCAACUGACACUGAGGCUCGAAAGUGUGGGUAUCAAACAGGAUUAGAUACCCGUGUAGUC
RNAcentral lists this ribosomal RNA (460 nucleotides) under uncultured bacterium. RNAcentral's name for it is "partial 16S ribosomal RNA". It matches the Rfam family "Bacterial small subunit ribosomal RNA", at positions 338 to 795 of the family's 1533-position model. The record is from RNAcentral.